GUCUGUUUCUAUUUCUUUCUCUUCCUAUUUCUCUGUUUCAAAGUGCAUUGCAGGUCUGAUACGUAACACUCCCAUUGGUAUUGUUGGUGUUAUUCGAAUCACUUGCAUGCUAUUUAAUGUUGAAAAAUUUCAUGAUUGUUAGGACCAUUAAGCUCUUUAUUAAACAUCCUGAAAUGCCAUUUGUCUUCUGUUUUUCUCUGCCGACAUUGCUUGACGGUACUGGUGCCUGGUUUUUACAUCUUUUAUUAAUUGUUUUAGGAUCAGGAAAAGAUUAAGAGA
This 279-nucleotide unclassified non-coding RNA is filed under the name Hevea brasiliensis (rubber tree). The record is from RNAcentral. Lineage: Eukaryota; Viridiplantae; Streptophyta; Magnoliopsida; Malpighiales; Euphorbiaceae.